AUACGUAGGUGGCGAGCGUUGUCCGGAUUUACUGGGUGUAAAGGGCGCGUAGGCGGGAAGGCAAGUCAGGUGUGAAAUCUAUGGGCUCAACCCAUAAACUGCACUUGAAACUGUUUUUCUUGAGUGUCGGAGAGGUAGAUGGAAUUCCUAGUGUAGCGGUGAAAUGCGUAGAUAUUAGGAGGAACACCAGUGGCGAAGGCGGUCUACUGGACGAUAACGGACGCUGAGGCGCGAAAGCGUGGGGAGCAAACAGGAUUAGAUACCCUGUUAGUCCACGCCGUAAACGAUGAAUACUAGGUGUGGGUGGGACUGACCCCAUCCGUGCCGCAGCUAACGCAAUAAGUAUUCCACCUGAGGAGUACGGCCGCAAGGCUGAAACUUAAAGGAAUUGACGGGG
RNAcentral lists this ribosomal RNA (397 nucleotides) under uncultured bacterium. Its description in RNAcentral is "partial 16S ribosomal RNA". It matches the Rfam family "Bacterial small subunit ribosomal RNA", at positions 523 to 918 of the family's 1533-position model. The record is from RNAcentral.